AGGAUAUGUGCCUGAAAGAUAAGGACCACUUUGAUAGAGUGACCCAUAGAGGUUCAAACCCUCUCAUAUCCUA
RNAcentral lists this transfer RNA (73 nucleotides) under Paramesotriton labiatus (spotless stout newt). RNAcentral describes it as "tRNA-Ile". It matches the Rfam family "tRNA". Rfam says of the family: Transfer RNA (tRNA) molecules are approximately 80 nucleotides in length. Their secondary structure includes four short double-helical elements and three loops (D, anti-codon, and T loops). Further hydrogen bonds mediate the characteristic L-shaped molecular structure. tRNAs have two regions of fundamental functional importance: the anti-codon, which is responsible for specific mRNA codon recognition, and the 3' end, to which the tRNAs corresponding amino acid is attached (by aminoacyl-tRNA synthetases). tRNAs cope with the degeneracy of the genetic code in two manners: having more than one tRNA (with a specific anti-codon) for a particular amino acid; and 'wobble' base-pairing, i.e. permitting non-standard base-pairing at the 3rd anti-codon position. Lineage: Eukaryota; Metazoa; Chordata; Amphibia; Caudata; Salamandridae. The record is from RNAcentral.